CAGAUCAAGAGUGAGUCGAAGAAAUCAACUGAAAAACCAUAUGUUGGGCCAGAUUCUUUUUCAAAUACUGACAUUUCUUCUGGCAAUAAUUCUGGAACCAACACUUUAAUUGAGUACGAAAAUGACGAAUCCUUGGAAAUCAAGUAUGAAAUUGUCUAAGGUUUUUUUGUUUGUCUACUACUACCUACUGCGCAUGUCGAAUUAUCGUGGGUACCUUCUGAGCAGAAAUGUACUUCAAAAUGGUAUUUUAUUAUUAUUUUAUUACUGUUUACUUGCAGUAUUUAUUAUUGUAUUCGUUAUUUAAUUAAAACAUAUUUUUUAAUAUGAAAAUACCUCGAGUACCCACUG
Belonocnema kinseyi is the source of this 348-nucleotide long non-coding RNA. RefSeq lists it as uncharacterized. The record is from RefSeq and is a predicted model, not a curated record. NCBI's taxonomy places the organism in Eukaryota, Metazoa, Arthropoda, Insecta, Hymenoptera, Cynipidae. The transcript has 2 exons.